RNAcentral lists this ribosomal RNA (346 nucleotides) under uncultured Lepidosphaeria. RNAcentral's name for it is "SSU rRNA". It matches the Rfam family "Eukaryotic small subunit ribosomal RNA", at positions 20 to 370 of the family's 1831-position model. The record is from RNAcentral. Lineage: Eukaryota; Fungi; Ascomycota; Dothideomycetes; Pleosporales; Testudinaceae.
GUAGUCAUAUGCUUGUCUCAAAGAUUAAGCCACGCAUGUCUAAGUAUAAGCAAUUAUACCGUGAAACUGCGAAUGGCUCAUUAAAUCAGUUAUCGUUUAUUUGAUAGUACCUUACUACUUGGAUAACCGUGGUAAUUCUAGAGCUAAUACAUGCUAAAAACCCCGACUUCGGGAGGGGUGUAUUUAUUAGAUAAAAAACCAAUGCCCUUCGGGGCUCCUUGGUGAUUCAUGAUAACUUAACGGAUCGCAUGGCCUUGCGCCGGCGACGGUUCAUUCAAAUUUCUGCCCUAUCAACCUUCGGUGGUAAGGUAUUGGCUUACCAUGGUUUCAACGGGUAACGGGGAAU